Molecule: long non-coding RNA, 1334 nt
Organism: Oncorhynchus tshawytscha (Chinook salmon)
Lineage: Eukaryota; Metazoa; Chordata; Actinopteri; Salmoniformes; Salmonidae
Source: Ensembl
AUGAAUAACUGUGAGAGGCAGUUUCCAUCCUUGCUCUCUUUAUCAGUUUCUUUCUGCUCUAUCAUUUUUUUUAAAAGUCAGCUUUUGUGUGGAUAGUGUGGGUGGGGUGGACAAGGAUGCUUCAGAAAAAGAAGAGUUUGAUUUUCAAUGAAAGCUCAUAGAGGCUAAGGAGAGCGGUGACAUCUGUAUGGAGAGAAAAAACGUGAAGACCGUUGACAGAAUAAUUACCCACCACUAGAAUCAACAGGGGAUCCAUUUCUGAGGUGCGGGUGGCUCAGCACUGCCGUACCCUGAGACUUGUAGCUGUCAAGUGUAUCGGCAAGAGGGUGCUAAAGGGAAAAGAGGGCAUGUUGGAGAAUGAGAUUGCAGCGCUCCGCAGCCUGAGAACUUACUAUAUCAGACUUCGUCUAUCGAUUCCAAGUGACUUUGGCCUGUCCAAGUUGGAAGAGCAGUAUGCUCACCACAGCAUGUGGACCCCCUGCUUACGUGGCAAUAGAUUUCAUUCCACGCAUGUUGCAGAAAGAACCAGAGAUGAGGUACAAUUGUGAGCCGGCCUUGAAGCAUCCUUGGACGCGUUGUUGAGUCAGGAUAUCGGGAGGAGCCGCUCUGGAGAAUAACAUACAUGGGUCCAUCAGUGAGCAGAUUCAGAAGAACUUUGCUAAGAGCAAGUGGAAGAGGGCAUUCAAUGCUCAGUAAGAAGAAUGUAGCAGUAGAGGAGGAGGCUAAGAUACAGACCAAGGCCAUACUGCAAGCAGACGCUCUUAUCCAGAGCGACCUACAGGAGUGAGUGCAUACAUUCUCAUACUUUCUUCAUACUGAACCCCCGUGGAAAUCAAACCUACAACCCUGGUGUUUCAAGAGCCAUGCUCUACCAACUGAGCUACACUGAGCUAACAAGAGAUUAAUCUAUGUCUGGCAGAGAAAUCACCUCGGAAGAAUCCUGUGUCAUUUAGGGCAUUUCUGCUCUCAAGUGCCUUUGCUGUAUGUGAUUAAUUGCAAAUCCAGAGUGAUGCAGAGUGAUACUCUCCUUCGGCCAGCAGAGAGCGGUCUUAAUCAAGCUUUUAUUUCUGUGGUAAAUGAUUAUUAUUAUUUAAUGGUCUCAUCCAAACAUUGCUCAGAAUCUGGUCUGGCUCCAUACAAUUUAGCAACAGGACUCAUUUGACACAUCAAGAGUAAUUUUGUUGAUAAAUAAUAACAAUAUACUAUUAGGCCUAGUAUCUAUUGACCAUGCAUCGAUGUAAACAGGUUUUCUAAUGAUUUGAUGCUAAGUAUCUAUAGACACUUGUAUUCUUCACUAAUAAAAAAAGUGUGUUAGAAAACACCGUUUUUUCCCC